UAUUAAAAAAUUUAUUCACUUAUUCUGUUAAAAAUUAGCAACUGAUAGAAUAAAUCAAACAGUGACAUGUAACAUGUCAUGUGUACCUUAUACUGAUAUAUAUCAACCAAAUUUUAAUCAUAUAAAUGGAUAGAAUUUUUAAUC
RNAcentral lists this microRNA precursor (144 nucleotides) under Gossypium arboreum. RNAcentral's name for it is "MIR7502 microRNA precursor family". It matches the Rfam family "MIR7502 microRNA precursor family". Lineage: Eukaryota; Viridiplantae; Streptophyta; Magnoliopsida; Malvales; Malvaceae. The record is from Rfam by way of RNAcentral.